GAUGAACGCUGGCGGCGUGCCUAAUACAUGCAAGUCGAGCGAACAGACGAGGAGCUUGCUCCUCUGACGUUAGCGGCGGACGGGUGAGUAACACGUGGAUAACCUACCUAUAAGACUGGGAUAACUUCGGGAAACCGGAGCUAAUACCGGAUAAUAUAUUGAACCGCAUGGUUCAAUAGUGAAAGACGGUUUUGCUGUCACUUAUAGAUGGAUCCGCGCCGCAUUAGCUAGUUGGUAAGGUAACGGCUUACCAAGGCAACGAUGCGUAGCCGACCUGGGAGGGUGAUCGGCCAAACUGGAACUGAGACACGGUCCAGACUCCUACGGGAGGCAGCAGUAGGGAAUCUUCCGCAAUGGGCGAAAGCCUGACGGAGCAACGCCGCGUGAGUGAUGAAGGUCUUCGGAUCGUAAAACUCUGUUAUUAGGGAAGAACAAAUGUGUAAGUAACAAUGCACGUCUUGACGGUACCUAAUCAGAAAGCCACGGCUAACUACGUGC
This 498-nucleotide ribosomal RNA is filed under the name uncultured bacterium. RNAcentral describes it as "partial 16S ribosomal RNA". It matches the Rfam family "Bacterial small subunit ribosomal RNA", at positions 28 to 508 of the family's 1533-position model. The record is from RNAcentral.